AUGUGCUUUUUAUGACACUUCACAUUUACAUUCUAUAUGAUUAUAGAAAAAGUACAGUAACGAUAAUAACUCAGAAUUUUUAAAAGGAUUAGUCUGAAGUGAAUUCUUAGUCAUAGUCCCUUUCAGAAAAGGAAAUUUGUCCAGGGUUAUAAGACAGAUCGACCAUCUCAAGCCAUAGAGCAAUCACUACUCUAGUUUGUAUGCUACUCUUACAACACUGAGUAAAGAAAACAACAGUUAGUUUGAAUAUUAUGACCAGUACAAGGAUUCCAAAUAAUGGAAAUAAGAAUUCCAAUCCGGAUCGAAAAAGGGAACUGAUACUGAAAAGGGAGCCAACGAAACAAAUCAAACUAGGUGCAGGAUCGCAUAAGGCAUCCACCUGCUUCUUCAUGUGCUUUAGCGGAGAGGACACAUUGGAAGAUUCAUGACCUAUAAAAGCACAGCAUCCAGUCUGAAUGAUUGUAUAUGUACCACCUUGGGAUGCAGUAAUAAUGUCUAAAGCCAUUCUGUUUUGAAGGACAGCCCUUCUCAUUAAACACAUUUCAGUAUUUGAAUAACGUUAUUCCUGCUUGACUAUCAUUAAGGGCUUCUUGAGUAAAUUUAGUCAGAGCUUCCAAAUGUAAUAAUGACAUCUUUUAGCCCCAAAGAAGAAGCAAAUAUAGUUGAAAAUGUAGCCAUACCAGUGGAACACUGAACAAGCCCAUUUGGCCUUAAAGAGAGGGAGACUGACACCAGGUUUUAACUCAGCCUGACUCCUUCCCUGCUUUUAAAGGAAACUCAGGGUGAAGUGUUUUAGCCAUCCAGGCAGUAGCCAAGGCCAAAGAUUUGUUCCACAUAACCAUUGAGUUCCAUUAGGAGUUACUUAUAAAUUCCUGGCCUUCAAGACCAGUCUAUUCCAAAUUAAUCACUUUAAGUAUGAUAGCAUUUCAAACAAAUUAUAAAAUAGGUAUACAGUUUAAGCAUAACAAAUGUUUAAAUGAGGAGGUAUAAGGUUGGGAAUACAGGCCUGGUCCGGAGUCUUGGGACAGCUGUCUACAAAAGAUGUCGUCUUCUUCUCCUCCUGGUUUGGUCCUUUUCAACAGGGCUGCAAAGAGUCUUAUUUGAUGUCUCUUUCAAUAAAUAAAUUCUUCAGGUUACAGUCCAUGAUCCUUAAGUUCUGGGACUUCUCUGUGAAAGACUCAGCUACAAAUCUUUCAUUUCUUUUAAGCACCACAAUAAGACCAUGAAAACCAUGUAAUACGUCCCUUAAGCAAAGCUGGUUCAUAUAUUUCUUCAUUUAAUUGCGUAGGCUGUUAUAUUAUUUAAAAAGGAGACAGCCGAUGUUUACAAAAAGUAUAAUCUAAGAUCAAAGAGCACUAGCAUAAGAGCUUUUGGCAGUGAGAGAGUAAAUGCUUCUGAAAGCUUGUCAAUUAAGUUCUAGUUGUGCCAUUAGUUUUACCAGUCCUGAGGAUCGAGGAUGGUAAGCGCAGUGGAAAUGCUGCAAUAUUGGCCAAACAUUACAAACAGAUUUGAGUUCCCCAGUCACUAUGUAACUCAGUAGGAAUUCCCCAAAGAGGAAUUAUCCUCUCUAAUAGUAAUUUACCUACUGUUAAAGCCAUUGCUCUUCUGCAAGGAAAGGCCUCAAAACAAUGUGAGAACAUGCAGAUCAUUACAAGACAUAUUUAUCCUUGAGAUGGUGGCAUUUGGACAAUGUCCAAUUGUCAUACCUCAAAGGGUACCUUAGGAAGGGAAAGUGGCCUUGUGACCCAAGGAGUGGGUUUCUUAUUGGGCCCAAACCACAUCUGCGAGGGGGUGUCAAAAAUUCCCCCUUUUGACUGCCAUAUCUGUUUAUCUUGUUCUGUGGCAAUUUCUUGAGCCGGUAGAAGGAAAUCUUUUACUGAGUUAGCAGAGUUAACAGAAAGUAGCAGGCAUUCUUGAGGCUGGACAGCACAUCCAGCUUGAUAACAUCCUCACUUAUCAUUUAAGUAAGACUCAUUUGUAAACCAAAUUAAACAAUAGAUUGUGGUCCUGGUCUUCUCUCCCUUGUGAUGUUGGAAGCAAGGUAACAAGGUUAAUGGUUAGAGCAAAUUAUAAAUUAGUUCCUGCGUCCAGGGGGCAGGUAGUCAAGAAGACUUCUAGAUGUCAGAGUCAAAGCAUCUUUUGUAGCUUGAAAGGUCUCUGAUGAUGUCAUCGGGCAUUCAGGUAUCUUUUUGAGUGGCUUACAGCGUACACGGCAACAGAUAGGAAUCUCUCUUAAGUUUCUAUUAAGUCGUUCAGCUUUAGUUUGCAAGGUUUCAGGAAAAAGAGCAGGUUCAAUUCUCAAUGAUUCCAAAUGAAAAUGAGGGAGAAAAUUGAAAGCAUUCGUUUGGAGAUUUGUAACCAAAUAUUUCAGCAGAAUUGAGGGUCCGGUACAGUUCACAGGUAGAAAAAAAAAGCCUCAAAGACAAUUAACAGAACUAGGAUCCAACAUCCACAAAUAUGUAUUUUAGUUUCUCACUGGAGCAUAAUUCUUCUCUCUAAAAUCACCCUCAUUUUUACCAAAGAUAGCCAAAUUAAGACUAAUUGGUUUGCAAAAUAAGUUUAGUUUCAAGAAACUUGGCCUGGUUAUUUACAUAAGUGCAGCAAGAAUAGCAGUUGAUCAUAUAGGCGCUUAAGUCUGCUUUGCUGGAAUUUUUUUAUGAGGAAUCUCAGAUUGAACUUUAAAGACCUCUCGAGGCCAGGAAAGCCAAGCCAAGGACUUGCCGUCAGAUUUUGCCUGCAGUACCUACAGAUUUGGGUGGAUUCUUCUCUUCUUGAGGUCCCCCAAAAUAUUCCGAGGUACUGCAGGCAAAAUCUGACGGCAAGUCCUUGGCUUGGCUUUCCUGGCCUCGAGAGGUCUUUAAAGUUCAAUCUGAG
Molecule: long non-coding RNA, 2874 nt
Organism: Equus caballus (horse)
Lineage: Eukaryota; Metazoa; Chordata; Mammalia; Perissodactyla; Equidae
Source: Ensembl